GACGAACGCUGGCGGCGUGCUUAACACAUGCAAGUCGUACGAUGACCCGGCUCUUCGGAGCUGGUGAUUAGUGGCGAACGGGUGAGUAACACGUGGGUGACCUGCCCUGCACUCUGGGAUAAGCCCGGGAAACUGGGUCUAAUACUGGAUACGACCAGUGGCCGCAUGGUCUGCUGGUGGAAAGCCCUUCGGGGUGGUGUGGGAUGGGCCCGCGGCCUAUCAGCUUGUUGGUGGGGUGAUGGCCUACCAAGGCGACGACGGGUAGCCGGCCUGAGAGGGUGUCCGGCCACACUGGGACUGAGACACGGCCCAGACUCCUACGGGAGGCAGCAGUGGGGAAUCGUGCACAAUGGGCGAAAGCCUGAUGCAGCGACGCCGCGUGAGGGAUGACGGCCUUCGGGUUGUAAACCUCUUUCGGCAGGGAACAAGCCUGGGGGGUUUCUUCUGGGUGAGGGUACCUGCGGAAGAAGCACCGGCUAACUACGUG
This 487-nucleotide ribosomal RNA is filed under the name uncultured bacterium. RNAcentral describes it as "partial 16S ribosomal RNA". It matches the Rfam family "Bacterial small subunit ribosomal RNA", at positions 28 to 507 of the family's 1533-position model. The record is from RNAcentral.